Paramuricea clavata is the source of this 359-nucleotide non-coding RNA. The record is from the annotation of a GenBank genome assembly. Lineage: Eukaryota; Metazoa; Cnidaria; Anthozoa; Malacalcyonacea; Plexauridae.
CAGCACGGGGGCAGCAGGUUGCCUUUUUUACCAGAACUGCACUUCGAACGUCGUGCGUUUUUCACAUGAAUUGAAAUUGAAAACUGUUUUUAACAAUUAAUUUAGCUCCUAUUUAAAUAUGAAUUCCUCUCAGAAACGUUACCAAUAUUAUCUGCUUUACCAAUGCUUAUCUGAGCUUCAAGAUAUCCAAAAUUUUCUGGGUGGGGGCAUGCCCCCAAACCCCUCUAGAGGCUCCCAUCUUUGGUGGUCGACUCGGUUGUCUCCGAAUCCUAGGUAUGGCCUGAUUUGCUGCCCCAUGGCGCAUACUUAUAUGUUAGUUAAACCAUGCAUAUAUAUGCUGCAGGUAGCUGCAGCGACAC